GAGGGUGUAGCUCAGUGGUAAAGCAUGUGCUUAGCAUGCACACGUCCUAGGUUCAAUCCCCAGUGCCUCCA
This 71-nucleotide transfer RNA is filed under the name Camelus bactrianus (Bactrian camel). It matches the Rfam family "tRNA". Rfam says of the family: Transfer RNA (tRNA) molecules are approximately 80 nucleotides in length. Their secondary structure includes four short double-helical elements and three loops (D, anti-codon, and T loops). RNAcentral also lists the same sequence under 3 other names. Lineage: Eukaryota; Metazoa; Chordata; Mammalia; Artiodactyla; Camelidae. The record is from Rfam by way of RNAcentral.